This 898-nucleotide long non-coding RNA is filed under the name Homo sapiens (human). RNAcentral's name for it is "non-protein coding lnc-TUBB1-1:2". Lineage: Eukaryota; Metazoa; Chordata; Mammalia; Primates; Hominidae. The record is from RNAcentral.
UCUCACCAAAACAACCCCAGCUAAGAAGUUCCGUCGGGGGUGGAGGACUUUUUCCAAGCCUUUGUUUCUGUGGAGUCUCUGUGCAUGGCCUGCUGUGAUGAGCAGUCGGUUUUUCUCUAGAGAAGGCAUAAAGAGAAGCAGAGGCAGAGAUGGGACGAGCAGGGAGAAUGCUCCUGCCUCAUCGGAGCCACCGGUUUUCGGGAGAGAGCGGCAGCCCCCACCUGCCUGUGGACUGAGCACUUAAAGGUGAGAGAGGACUUUGUGAUUUCUUUGUGCACCUGGAGUUCUGGGAUGCAAGGCCAGAUGAAGGGAUCUUAAUCAUUGAGCCUGGUCUGUUGCCUCCCGAGUGAUUCUAUCAGGCAAGCAUGAUGGAUGAUUCCUUCCAAGCACACGCAGUUAUCUCUGACACGAGCCCCACUCAGGUCCCCUUGAGAUCUCUUGAACCAAGGGGCUUCUAGCCCCUCCUCCUCACCUUUCAGCACAGCCUUGUAAACCUCAGAUGUGGAUGAAGGUGCCGUCCUGCCUUUGACUUGACCUGUUGAUUUCCAACCGGGGCUGCUGGCCCUUCCUCUCUAGAGUGAGUAGUGACUCACACUUUUGGGGCCCUAUGAAAUGGUCCUCCAUCCAAGGGGCUUUGGGAAGCCUGUUUCCCUGGUGGCCCCAAGCCCAGUAACCAAAAGCAAUCAGACCCAGCUGUCCAGCUAAUUUUUUUAAAAUAGGCUUCCUUCCUAGUAGAAAUCAACAAAGUCUAAAAUAGAAGGGACUCUAAUAGGAAAUGAAGCUGCAGAGUUCUGUGUGGAAUGCAACAGGCAGGGACCUCGGCAUGGAAAAUACUAAGUGCAGAUUACAUGGCUGACAACCAUGGGAGCAGGAGAAGGAGUAAUCUCCUUGCUUAUCG